This is a long non-coding RNA of Hyla sarda, 664 nucleotides long. RefSeq lists it as uncharacterized. The record is from RefSeq and is a predicted model, not a curated record. NCBI's taxonomy places the organism in Eukaryota, Metazoa, Chordata, Amphibia, Anura, Hylidae. The transcript has 3 exons.
CAGGUUCAUUUUUUUCAGGUCAAAGCUUUUGGUCAACAUUACUAGAUAAGAAGCUAUUUGAUAUAGGAGGAAAGACAUCAAACAAGGUCCAAAAUAACAAUGAAUUUGGAUAAGGGACAUGAGAAACAAUAGAAGAAGAAAAAACAACAGAGACAAUGCGUGUGUGUUCAGCCCCCAUCCUCCACAAUGAUAGAAUACUCCGCAUGUAUUACAGCACCCAGGCACAUCACUGCUCCACCCGCAGCUUGACCACCAUUCCACUAAAACAGGUGCACGUAGGACCCCUGUAUUCAGACACUGAUCACCUAUCCAGGAUGUUAUUUUCGGAUAACAUUUUACAUAUAUUUUUUGAUGUGAGGAAUGAAAGUCUCCGUACUGGCCUGCUGAAUAUUCAUUGCAGAACUUUCUGCCACUGUCCCACGCACAUUCUACAGAAAUAACCCCAUGAGAUGCAUGGCACAGAAUAUAUUAUAAGUGUGGUGUCCCGUGGAUGUGGACUGACUCAGGCAGCCUGGCGACACAGAGCGUUGGAUGUAUAAAAGAAGGUAGACGGCACUCACCGACAAUCUGAAAACUUUAUUUCUUCAUGCUGGAGUCACGUGCAGGUCAGGGGACGUGUCCGGAACGUUUCGUGCGGGUGACGCACUUCCUCAGCCAACACAGA